UUUGUGUAUAUAUAUGUAUGUAUGUGUGUGUGUGUGUGUGUGUGUAUAUAUAUACACACACACACACACACACACACAUACACAGA
RNAcentral lists this microRNA precursor (86 nucleotides) under Mus musculus (house mouse). RNAcentral describes it as "predicted gene, 56072 (ENSMUSG00002076903.1)". Lineage: Eukaryota; Metazoa; Chordata; Mammalia; Rodentia; Muridae. The record is from RNAcentral.